RNAcentral lists this ribosomal RNA (274 nucleotides) under uncultured bacterium. Its description in RNAcentral is "partial 16S ribosomal RNA". It matches the Rfam family "Bacterial small subunit ribosomal RNA", at positions 523 to 796 of the family's 1533-position model. The record is from RNAcentral.
AUACGGAGGGAGCAAGCGUUAUUCGGAAUCACUGGGCGUAAAGGACGCGUAGGCGGGUUUGUAAGUCAGGUGUGAAAUCCUACAGCUCAACUGUAGAACUGCACUUGAAACUACAGACCUAGAGUAUGGAAGGGGCAGAUGGAAUUAGUGGUGUAAAGGUAAAAUCCGUAGAUAUCACUAGGAAUACCGAAAGCGAAGGCGAUCUGCUGGGACAUUACUGACGCUGAGGCGUGAAAGCGUGGGGAGCAAACAGGAUUAGAAACCCGAGUAGUCC